This 518-nucleotide ribosomal RNA is filed under the name uncultured bacterium. RNAcentral's name for it is "bacterial SSU rRNA". It matches the Rfam family "Archaeal small subunit ribosomal RNA", at positions 345 to 866 of the family's 1478-position model. The record is from RNAcentral.
AACCUCCGCAAUGUGAGAAAUCGCGACGGGGGGAUCCCAAGUGCCAUUCUUAACGGGAUGGCUUUUCAUUAGUGUAAAGAGCUUUUGGAAUAAGAGCUGGGCAAGACCGGUGCCAGCCGCCGCGGUAACACCGGCAGCUCUAGUGGUAACAAUUUUUAUUGGGCCUAAAGCGUCCGUAGCCGGUUUAAUAAGUCUCUGGUGAAAUCCUGCAGCUUAACUGUGGGAAUUGCUGGAGAUACUAUUAGACUUGAGACCGGGAGAGGUUAGAGGUACUCCCAGGGUAGAGGUGAAAUUCUGUAAUCCUGGGAGGACCGCCUGUUGCGAAGGCGUCUAACUGGAACGGUUCUGACGGUGAGGGACGAAAGUUAGGGGCGCGAACCGGGAUUAGAUACCCGGGUAGUCCUAACUGUAACGAUGCGGACUUGGUGUUGGGUGGCUUUGAGCUGCUCCAGUGCCGAAGGAAGCUGUAAGUCCGCCGCCUGGGAAGUACGGUCGCAAGACUGAAACUUAAAGGAAUU